This is a long non-coding RNA of Oryza brachyantha (malo sina), 409 nucleotides long. RefSeq lists it as uncharacterized. The transcript has 4 exons. The record is from RefSeq and is a predicted model, not a curated record. Lineage: Eukaryota; Viridiplantae; Streptophyta; Magnoliopsida; Poales; Poaceae.
CUCCGCCGCCGCCGCCGCCGCUUCCCCCGAAUCCAUCGCAGCUGCUUGUGCUUGUACUGUGAGAGGCGGCGCCUGGAGGAUCCAUCCAUCCAUCCAUCCAUCAAUCCAUCCAAUUUCAAGAUGCCAAAGGUAUAUACCACCUAUGGAAUUCCGAGGACAUGGACCGAGAGAGCUUUUGGUUGCCAUACAAACAUCUGUUCAGUGUUCAAGUUGUGAUGGCGGCAUAUAUAUUUUGCAACAGUAAUUCUUCAAGCUGGCAAUUAAUAAGUGAAUUCAAUGGACAGACGUUCAGAGUCGAGAAAUCUGAGCGAGAUGGAUUAUAUUACUACUAAUCGAGUUGUAAUGCUAGUUGCAGAAUAACACCCUCGUCUUUUUGCUUCUGCUUCUGCUUAUGAACAAAAACGUAAAU